UACGAAGGGGGCUAGCGUUGCUCGGAAUUACUGGGCGUAAAGCGCACGUAGGCGGCUUUCUAAGUCGGAGGUGAAAUCCUGGAGCUCAACUCCAGAACUGCCUUCGAUACUGGAGAGCUUGAGUCCGGGAGAGGUGAGUGGAACUGCGAGUGUAGAGGUGAAAUUCGUAGAUAUUCGCAAGAACACCAGUGGCGAAGGCGGCUCACUGGCCCGGUACUGACGCUGAGGUGCGAAAGCGUGGGGAGCAACAGG
RNAcentral lists this ribosomal RNA (252 nucleotides) under uncultured bacterium. RNAcentral's name for it is "partial 16S ribosomal RNA". It matches the Rfam family "Bacterial small subunit ribosomal RNA", at positions 524 to 775 of the family's 1533-position model. The record is from RNAcentral.